AAAAGCGAAUCGUCCAGCCCUGUAUCUUCGAAGAAGUUUAAAUCGCAUUCUGAUGAAGCAGAAUCUGCGACAUCAGUGAAGUCCUCGUCGUAUAAGACCUUAGAUAAAGUUUUGGAGGCCGAAGAUGCGAAUAACAAUUUAUGCGACAUCCUCAGAUCUAGUUUCCUGUUUACACAUUUUGAAGAUGAUGCAUGGGAUAACGAAGUUUCAAGCACGUACGAUGAUGUAUCGACCGACGUGUUACCAUCAAACGUGGCCAAUGUGAAAAACAAAAGCUAUGAAUCUGCGAGUAUGCUUCAGGAGUCAGAUGAAGAGGACAAAGUGGAUGUUUAUAUAGUGAAACAAACUUCUGAAGGGCCCGUAAAAAUCGCACACGUAGAAAAUAUGGAACCACUCAUCGUAACCAACGACGAGAUUUCAAAGAAUAUUUACGAUAGCAUAGUUAAUAUAUUCAACAGAAAUCGAAUCAAAAGUGGCUCGCCGGCUACGUAACAAACGAUUCAAUUUAGAAUAUUUGUUAUUUCAUAUGCUUAGUACUUAUCAGUGAGUUAUCAUAGUGUUAGUAAUUUAUUCGACAGACAUGUAUUUCCAUCAAAGAAUCAAAAAUAUAAGAAAUAUGCUCUUGAAAUAUUAAGAGAUCGAUGUCACAUGUAAAGUUUGCACUUGUUCUCGUUAACGUUAAUUAACG
RNAcentral lists this unclassified non-coding RNA (688 nucleotides) under Bombus terrestris (buff-tailed bumblebee). RNAcentral's name for it is "misc RNA ENSBTSG00005031369.1". The record is from RNAcentral. Lineage: Eukaryota; Metazoa; Arthropoda; Insecta; Hymenoptera; Apidae.